Molecule: non-coding RNA, 1999 nt
Organism: Lactuca sativa (garden lettuce)
Lineage: Eukaryota; Viridiplantae; Streptophyta; Magnoliopsida; Asterales; Asteraceae
Source: RefSeq, a predicted model, not a curated record
UAACAAGCUUCUGAUAACAACUCAAACAUGUAGAAAAAACGGUGUAUUUUUCAUUCUUUUACAAAAAACGGUUUUCAUUUUAUAACAAAGUGAUAACCACAGGGACCAUAACUGUAAUUUACUCAUAUUUUCAAUCGCCGAUCUCAUUCCUCAUUCCCCAAACUGUUUAUCUCGAUCGUCGUCAUCAUCAUCUGAUUUGCUUUGUUCGUUCGCCGCUGCUCCGUCAACCGGUCGAUUUUUCUCGAUCGUCUUCAUCCCUACCCGUGGAAAGAAGUGUCUCCAGAAAGAUGAUCAGCUCAUUCACAUAUUCGUUGUCACUUUUUCAUUUACCAGAGUAUUAGGUUCAGAGGGGCAAGAUUGUCCAGGUGGGUGAGGUUUAUCACCAAAAGGGUGUUGACCCAUGUCCGAGACAAUUUCAUCAUCAAAUUCCCACCAUACCCCUGUGUCUUGAUCUUUAAUAUGGGCUACAUAGUGGCCACUAUUUACAGCUACACCCUUGUGAAUCAAAACUGCUGAUAAAUCAUAUAUCAAUUCUCCCAUGUCAACAUGUCCAGGGAAACAAAAUGCAGAGGAGCCAGAAUCGAUUGAUUGGGAGUACUACAGGAAAGGUCUUUCUUACCAAAAAACAAACAUGCAUACACUUUUAUACCAACAAACCUAUUGAUUGGUAGUAAUUUUAAUUGCAGUUUUUGUGCAACCAUAGAAAUCAUUCGAUUAGGGUUCCAAUUUUUAUUGUUUUUCUAACUUUAUUUUAGAUAAAAUUCAAAAUAUUUUAUAGAUAAUUUUGAAUUUUUGGUCCUAUAUCUUUUUUGUGUAUUAACAAUCUUGUUUAAAAUCAUUUGAGUAAUGGCCUCAUUUUGUGUAUACUAUCUAGACACCCCUUUUUCCCUUCCUAACAUUCCUUUAAACUAUGUUAUAAUGUGCUAAGUUGGUGAAGGGUAAAACGGUCAUUUAUCAUACUCAAAUAGUCUUUAUGUAUGCAAUAUAUUUUUUUUAAAUUUGAAUUUUUUAAAAAGUAGUAUGCUUAAACUUUUAAAAAGGGUAAAACAAUCACUCUACAUUGUAGAUUCCAACCUAAUAUGAUGUUCAAAUUCCUUUUGUCAGGUAUAUACUAGAUAACAAGUUUCACCUAACAACAUUUCUUGAAGAUGACACCAAAUCUAAUGGAUAUUCUUCAAAAGAAUUGUCAUGGCUUCCUAAUAUGGUUAAAGAUUUUGUUCUUCCUGCUAGCUUCCCUGGAUCUGUUUAAGAUGAUUACUUGGAAUACAUGUUGUUACAGUUUCCAACCAAUGUCACUGGAUGGAUUUGUCACACAUUGGUCACUUCAAGUCUUCUAAAGGCAUGUCAAUCUAACUCAAGCCAGUACUUCUGAUUGGGUAGUUGGUUUAGACUAUUCUUCUGGAACCACAGCUGUAGCUUCUGCUGCUGCCAUCAGAUGGGUGUCAAAAGAUGGAAUUGGUGCCAUUGGACAUUUUUUCAUUGGUGGAAGAUUUGGGAAUCUUUUUGAUGAUGAUCCAAAACAAUGGCGCAUGUAGGCAGACUUCAUUGGAAGUGCUGGAAGUAAAGGAUCUUCUGAAAUGCAUCGCGAACAAUACGAGGAUAGUAAUGCCGAGACAAAAGUCAAGAUUGAGAAUUUGAAAAAGUUAGUUGAGACACAACGCGAACAAUAUGAGGAUAUUCAACAAAAAUAUGAGGAUGUUCAGCAAAAAUAUGAGGAUGCUCAGAAAAAAAAUGUGGAGUUUCAGCAGAAAAAUGUGGAUGUUCAAGCAAAGUUUGAAUAACUUAGCACAAGCAAUGAAUGUCAUUAACACAUUGAGUGGGCAAGUCAAAACUUUUAUUAAGCAAUGAUAGAAUAUUAUGUAUCGAAUAAUGUUUUACGUUAAAUUUGUAGCGACUUUUAAUUUUGAAAUAUGUAUCUUUUGAUGUAUUGGAUAUUUCUUUUAGUUUCUAUAGAAAUACUUUGUUAUUUUUGGUUUUAUAUUAAUUGUAUUUUUGUAAA